RNAcentral lists this non-coding RNA (99 nucleotides) under Conticribra weissflogii. The record is from RNAcentral. Lineage: Eukaryota; Bacillariophyta; Thalassiosirophyceae; Thalassiosirales; Thalassiosiraceae.
UGGAACUCGCAGAUACCGCUUCUUUAACACCGGGAAUGCCUAAAGGAGUGUCGGCCCUAGCGGAUAUGUUGGAAUCCAAUGCACUUCAGGCCACGCUUG